This 269-nucleotide small RNA is filed under the name Pongo abelii (Sumatran orangutan). RNAcentral describes it as "processed transcript". The record is from RNAcentral. Lineage: Eukaryota; Metazoa; Chordata; Mammalia; Primates; Hominidae.
ACAGUCGUGUUCGCAUCUGGUCUAACAGACCCGCGAGAACGAAGGACGCUUGCCUUUUUCCGGUCGGGGAAGAGGGAAGAAGGUGUUCAGAUUUUGCAAAUCUAAAUGUCAUAAAAACUUUAAAAAGAGGCGCAAUCCUCGCAAAGUUAGGUGGACCAAAGCAUUCCGGAAAGCAGCUGGUAAAGAGCUUACAGUGGAUAAUUCAUUUGAAUUUGAAAAACGUAGAAAUGAACCUAUCAAAUACCAGCGAGAGCUAUGGAAUAAAACUA